RNAcentral lists this ribosomal RNA (930 nucleotides) under uncultured Staphylococcus sp. RNAcentral describes it as "bacterial SSU rRNA". It matches the Rfam family "Bacterial small subunit ribosomal RNA", at positions 57 to 968 of the family's 1533-position model. Lineage: Bacteria; Bacillati; Bacillota; Bacilli; Caryophanales; Staphylococcaceae. The record is from RNAcentral.
GCAGUCGAGCGACAGAUAAGGAGCUUGCUCCUUUGACGUUAGCGGCGGACGGGUGAGUAACACGUGGAUAACCUACCUAUAAGACUGGGAUAACUUCGGGAAACCGGAGCUAAUACCGGAUAAGAUUUUGAACCGCAUGGUUCAAUAGUGAAAGACGGCCUUGCUGUCACUUAUAGAUGGAUCCGCGCCGUAUUAGCUAGUUGGUAAGGUAACGGCUUACCAAGGCAACGAUACGUAGCCGACCUGAGAGGGUGAUCGGCCACACUGGAACUGAGACACGGUCCAGACUCCUACGGGAGGCAGCAGUAGGGAAUCUUCCGCAAUGGGCGAAAGCCUGACGGAGCAACGCCGCGUGAGUGAUGAAGGUCUUCGGAUCGUAAAACUCUGUUAUCAGGGAAGAACAAACGUGUAAGUAACUGUGCACGUCUUGACGGUACCUGAUCAGAAAGCCACGGCUAACUACGUGCCAGCAGCCGCGGUAAUACGUAGGUGGCAAGCGUUAUCCGGAAUUAUUGGGCGUAAAGCGCGCGUAGGCGGUUUUUUAAGUCUGAUGUGAAAGCCCACGGCUCAACCGUGGAGGGUCAUUGGAAACUGGAAAACUUGAGUGCAGAAGAGGAAAGUGGAAUUCCAUGUGUAGCGGUGAAAUGCGCAGAGAUAUGGAGGAACACCAGUGGCGAAGGCGACUUUCUGGUCUGUAACUGACGCUGAUGUGCGAAAGCGUGGGGAUCAAACAGGAUUAGAUACCCUGGUAGUCCACGCCGUAAACGAUGAGUGCUAAGUGUUACGGGGUUUCCGCCCCUUAGUGCUGCAGCUAACGCAUUAAGCACUCCGCCUGGGGAGUACGACCGCAAGGUUGAAACUCAAAGGAAUUGACGGGACCCGCACAAGCGGUGGGAGCAUGGUGGUUUAAUUCGAAGCAACCGCGAAGAA